AAGUAGUUUUACUCUUGCUAAAAUACUUAUUGCAUUUAAAUAUUAUAUGUAAAUUUUUGUGAUGUUAAAUUUCUUAAUGGAGAUAAAAAUUAUAUUGCAGUAAUAAAUAUUAAUUAUAAUGGAAAUUUUGAAUUAAUUAUUUUUUUUUGUAGUGCUGAUUAAAUAUGUGCCAGCAGUCGCGGUUAUACAUGAGGCGUGAAUAAGUAUUUUUGGUUUAUAGUUAUUUGGUUAAUUUUUGGGUAAAAUUUAUUAAUUUUUUGGGUAAAAUUUAAUUUUUGGGAUUUAUUUAUGAUAAGGUAAAUGAAGCUGUGAAAUCUAAUUAUUUAAACUAGGAUUAGAUACCCUAUUAUUUUGGAUUUAAAAUUUAUUAACUUGAGUAGUAUUAGUUAUGGUCUUGAAACUUAAAGAAUUUGGCGGUACUAUAGUCUGGUUAGAGGAAUCUGUCCCGUUAUCGAUAAUCCGCGUUGUACCUUACCUAAUUUGAAUUAUAUGUAUACCGCCGUUUAAUGAAAAUCUUUAUAGGGAAUUUUCUUUAUAUUCUAUUUAGUUAUAUUUCAGGUCAAGGUGCAGUAUAUAAUUAGGUGGUGAUGGAUUACAAUAUUUAUAAAGUAUAAUGGAUUGAAUUAAGUGUAAUGUUUUUAUGAAGGAGGAUUUAAUAGUAAUUAUUAAUAAGAUAAAUUUUUUUGAUAUUAGCUCUAUAGUAUACACACAUCGCCCGUCACUCUCGUUAUAAGAUGAGAUAAGUCGUAACAAAGUAGAUGUACCGGAAGGUACAGCUAGAGUGAUCAAGUUAUACUUGAAGAUAAGAUUUUCAUUUACAUUGAAAUAAAUACUGUGCAAU
This 841-nucleotide non-coding RNA is filed under the name Salganea raggei. Lineage: Eukaryota; Metazoa; Arthropoda; Insecta; Blattodea; Blaberidae. The record is from RNAcentral.